This 683-nucleotide unclassified non-coding RNA is filed under the name Hevea brasiliensis (rubber tree). The record is from RNAcentral. Lineage: Eukaryota; Viridiplantae; Streptophyta; Magnoliopsida; Malpighiales; Euphorbiaceae.
UGGCAUAGAACAAAGAAUCACCACUCACUGCAAAGGCAGGCCGUUCUCUCUCUAAUUUAAAAACAAUCAUGCCACUGUCAUGACCUGCAGCAAGGAGAUUCAUUUCAGGGUGAGAUGCAAGAAUCCAGAAACGGUCAUGCUCUCGACGGAAAGUCUGAACUCCUGUUCGUUUGGUUACAUCCCAAACACGAAUGCUUUUAUCCUCUGAAUUUGAAACGAUGAUAUCCUGUUUAGCAUGGAACAUAACACAUGACACAUUAUUCAUGUGUCCUCUCAAAGUGUCCACUUCCCAGGCCUUCGUGUCGUUCAUACGCCACAAUUUCACCUGACGAUCAUCUGCUCCUGAGACAAUCAAGGGAAGGUUGGGGUGGAAUGCAGCCCAGUUCACUCCUCGAUCAUGACCUUCCAAGACAUACUUAACAACAGCAUCAACCCCACCAAAAAGAUCCGUGUUCAUCUGACUCAAGCGCAGAAUGUCAUCAGCAGGGGACACAGUUUUCUUUCUCAGGGCACCAAUAUCCCAAACACGAACAGUCUGAUCUAGAGAGGCCGAAACAACAAGGUCUUCUUUAGGAUGGAAUGAGGCGCACAUUACAUAAUGAUUGUGGCCCGUCAACACAGAAAUGCAAGUACGUGAUUGCCAAUUCCAAAUACGGAUGGUCUGGUCAUCACUGGCACUCACG